RNAcentral lists this ribosomal RNA (468 nucleotides) under uncultured bacterium. RNAcentral describes it as "partial 16S ribosomal RNA". It matches the Rfam family "Bacterial small subunit ribosomal RNA", at positions 28 to 507 of the family's 1533-position model. The record is from RNAcentral.
GACGAACGCUGGCGGCGUGCUUAACACAUGCAAGUCGAACGGAAAGGCCCUGCUUUUGUGGGGUGCUCGAGUGGCGAACGGGUGAGUAACACGUGAGUAACCUGCCCUUGACUUUGGUAUAACUUCAGGAAACUGGGGCUAAUACCGGAUAGGAGCUCCUGCUGCAUGGUGGGGGUUGGAAAGUUUCGGCGGUUGGGGAUGGACUCGCGGCUUAUCAGCUUGUUGGUGGGGUAGUGGCUUACCAAGGCUUUGACGGGUAGCCGGCCUGAGAGGGUGACCGGCCACAUUGGGACUGAGAGACGGCCCAGACUCCUACGGGAGGCAGCAGUGGGGAAUAUUGCACAAUGGGCGGAAGCCUGAUGCAGCAACGCCGCGUGCGGGAUGACGGCCUUCGGGUUGUAAACCGCUUUCGCCUGUGACGAAGCGUGAGUGACGGUAAUGGGUAAAGAAGCACCGGCUAACUACGUG